RNAcentral lists this long non-coding RNA (518 nucleotides) under Homo sapiens (human). Its description in RNAcentral is "long intergenic non-protein coding RNA 1905". The record is from RNAcentral. Lineage: Eukaryota; Metazoa; Chordata; Mammalia; Primates; Hominidae.
AGACUGCUGUGCUAGCAAUCAGGGAGAUUCCGUGGGCGUAGGACCCUCCAAGCCAGGUGUGGGAUAUAGUCUAGUGGUGCGCCGUUUUUUAAGCCUGUCGGAAAAGCGCAGUAUUCUGGUGGGAGUGACCCGAUUUUCCAGGUGCCGUCCGUCACCCCUUUCUUUGACUAGGAAAGGGAACUCCGUGACCCCUUGCGCUUCCUGAGUGAGGCAAUGCCUCGCCCUGCUUCGGCUCUCGCACGGUGCGCGCUCCCACUGACCUGCGCCCACUGUCUGGCACUCCCUAGUGAGAUGAACCCGGUACCUCAGAUGGAAAUGCUGAAAUCACCCGUCUUCUGCGUCGCUCAGGCUGGGAGCUGUAGACCGGAGCUGUUCCUAUUCGGCCAUCUUGUCUCCUCCCCCCAGCCCACAACAGCCUAUGAAGAAUAACUAGAGGUCUUCAUAUCAGAGGCAGAAGGUACUGCAAGCUUACUUUCCAACGUGGCUGCAUCGUUUCACAUUCCCACCAGCAGUAUGAG